Molecule: long non-coding RNA, 482 nt
Organism: Bombus impatiens (common eastern bumble bee)
Lineage: Eukaryota; Metazoa; Arthropoda; Insecta; Hymenoptera; Apidae
Exons: 2
Source: RefSeq, a predicted model, not a curated record
UAGCACCUGAAAAAUAGAUUGGUCAUUGGCAAUUGAAAUGGUGAUAAUACGUGUUAAUCUAAGGUGGAAGAAAUGCAGUUUAGGGGAUGAAAGAAUUCUAUAAAAUUGUACUUGACAAGAGUAAUGAAUAAAUGCAACAUACACGACAAUAUGGUGAAAAAUAUCUGGUUAGUGGAUGGAAAAAUAAUAGUUACCAGCAGCUAAACCGAUGUAAGGAUCGGUGACCAGAGAUUUGAGAGACGGUGGUUCCGCUUCGGUGUACACGACAGACGGUUGAAGCACCAGAAGUUGCAAAACUGGGAAUGGUAUUAUACAAAGUGCAAUCGAUAAAUGUAAGAUAGAAUGGAAGUAAAUGGCGCGUAAGAAAAAGAUGAACAUGGAGAAAUACUCACUUCCGUCGCCAAGGGCCAAUGCCGAAAGUACCAAGAACGGAGCAGAUUUUCCGACAUAUUCGUACAUCGCGCCGCCAAAUGGAGGUCCGA